CAGGGCAGUCAGUACAUAGUGUUCUGGGGUUAUGUAACUACGGAUUGCGAAAGAACAACCAGAGCUUUGAAAACAGAAGCGAGCUGACAGCACUUACAGCUUCCCCUUAACAUCAUAAUUUGCCCAUCAAAUUACAUUGUGGAGAGUUAAAAAGCAGUACCACAGAAGUGAAUGUUGCAGGCUCUAAGUCCGUGAUGACUUCCACGGUAUGUGUUAGAAUGUGUUGGAAUGAGCAGGAGUUGUACAGUAAGGGUUCUCUGGAGCAGUGGGAACAGCUGCAAGGAAGAAGGUCCUUAUUCCUCACACCCUCAGAAUAGGAGUGUAUGGCUUAUGGGCAGCCAAAGGCAUCUCUGAGUGAACUCAGGAGUAAGCGUGGGAGCCUGAGGAUAGUGCAAUUGCUGAACCGCUAUGAAGAAAAGAGCCUGGGGCUACUGGAGUGAAUGAUGAGGCGCGGUUACUAUGUUGUGGCAUUAAACUUUGUUCACUCGU
Long non-coding RNA from Trachemys scripta elegans, 489 nucleotides. RefSeq lists it as uncharacterized. The record is from RefSeq and is a predicted model, not a curated record. Lineage: Eukaryota; Metazoa; Chordata; Testudines; Emydidae. The transcript is spliced from 2 exons.